UGGACAGAUUAUUGUAUUCGACUGUAUUCACGGCGUGAAACAAGGGAUUAUACUGUUUUUAAACAACGUGAAUCAAUUAAUAUAAUAGACUCCU
Molecule: microRNA precursor, 94 nt
Filed under: Nicotiana sylvestris (wood tobacco)
Lineage: Eukaryota; Viridiplantae; Streptophyta; Magnoliopsida; Solanales; Solanaceae
Also listed under: 1 other name
Description: MIR6152 microRNA precursor family
Rfam family: MIR6152 microRNA precursor family
Source: Rfam by way of RNAcentral